Non-coding RNA from Paramuricea clavata, 221 nucleotides. Lineage: Eukaryota; Metazoa; Cnidaria; Anthozoa; Malacalcyonacea; Plexauridae. The record is from the annotation of a GenBank genome assembly.
CCGUAACGUUCGUGUUUCCAAAUAUGGAAUGUCUAUCCUUAUAUGGUGUUGUUUACAACUUUCGUGCAACUAAAUUUAGACCGUGCAAACUAAAUUUAGACCGUACAGUUUAUACUGUUUUUCGAAAUAUAAGAUAUUCAAGCAAAAGUUCCAAUGUUUUAAAUACUGUUUUCUCAAAACAGAACAUUUCGUGCUUUGAGAUAAGAUGGCCAAGACCAAUU